Molecule: ribosomal RNA, 564 nt
Filed under: uncultured Glomeromycotina
Lineage: Eukaryota; Fungi; Glomeromycota
Description: SSU rRNA
Rfam family: Eukaryotic small subunit ribosomal RNA
Source: RNAcentral
UUGGAGGGCAAGUCUGGUGCCAGCAGCCGCGGUAAUUCCAGCUCCAAUAGCGUAUAUUAAAGUUGUUGCAGUUAAAAAGCUCGUAGUUGAAUUUCGAGAUCAGAGUGUCGGUCGUGCCUCGGUACGCACUGGUAUUAUUGGUUCCUACCUUCUGAAGAGCCGCGAUGUCAUUAAUUUGGUGUCGUGGGGAAUCAGGACUGUUACUUUGAAAAAAUUAGAGUGUUUAAAGCAGGCUUACGCUUGAAUACAUUAGCAUGGAAUAAUGAAAUAGGACGUUUGAUUCUAUUUUGUUGGUUUCUAGGAUUGACGUAAUGAUUAAUAGGGAUAGUUGGGGGCAUUAGUAUUCAAUUGUCAGAGGUGAAAUUCUUGGAUUUAUUGAAGACUAACUACUGCGAAAGCAUUUGCCAAGGAUGUUUUCAUUAAUCAAGAACGAAAGUUAGGGGAUCGAAGACGAUCAGAUACCGUCGUAGUCUUAACCAUAAACUAUGCCGACUAGGGAUCGGAUGAUGUUAAUUUUUUAACGACUCAUUCGGCGCCUUACGGGAAACCAAAGUGUUUGGGUUC